RNAcentral lists this ribosomal RNA (503 nucleotides) under Miyakella nepa. Its description in RNAcentral is "partial 16S ribosomal RNA". It matches the Rfam family "Bacterial large subunit ribosomal RNA", at positions 1819 to 2573 of the family's 2925-position model. Lineage: Eukaryota; Metazoa; Arthropoda; Malacostraca; Stomatopoda; Squillidae. The record is from RNAcentral.
GUCCAUAUGUUUAAUUAGCUUUAUAUGGUCUGGCCUGCUCACUGAUAUUUAAAUUAAAGAGCCGCGGUAUUUUGACCGUGCGAAGGUAGCAUAAUAAUUAGUCUCCUAAUUAGAGGCUUGUAUGAAUGGUCGGACAAGAUGGAAUCUGUCUCAACACAAUAAAUAAAAUUUAAUAACUAAGUAAAAAAGCUUAGAUAAAAUGGAGGGACGAUAAGACCCUAUAAAGCUUUAUGGUAUUUUUCUUUCUUAUAAAUUGUAUUGUUAUUAACUUAUUUUAGAAUUUUUAUCAUUUUACUGGGGCGGUAAAAGUAUAAUUAGAUUAACUGCUUUUGUUUUAAAUAACAAUUUUAGUUGGAAAUAAAUUGAUCCAUUAUUAAUGAUCACAAGAACAAGUUACUUUAGGGAUAACAGCGUAAUUUUUUUUGAGAGUUCUCAUCGAAAAAAAAGUUUGCGACCUGGAUGUUGAAUUAAGGUUCUUUAAGGGCAGGAGUUUAAAGGUGAUC